This 697-nucleotide ribosomal RNA is filed under the name uncultured bacterium. RNAcentral's name for it is "bacterial SSU rRNA". It matches the Rfam family "Bacterial small subunit ribosomal RNA", at positions 94 to 820 of the family's 1533-position model. The record is from RNAcentral.
AGUGGCGGACGGGUGAGUAACACGUGAGAAUUUACCUUUAGGAGGGGGAUAACAAUCGGAAACGAAUGCUAAUACCCCAUAUGCUUUUGAGUGAAAUGGAUUUAUUCGCCUAAAGAGAAGCUCGCGGCUGAUUAGCUUGUUGGUGAGGUAAAAGCUUACCAAGGCGACGAUCAGUAUCUGGUUUGAGAGGACGAUCAGACACACUGGAACUGAGACACGGUCCAGACUCCUACGGGAGGCAGCAGUGGGGAAUUUUCCGCAAUGGGCGAAAGCCUGACGGAGCAAUACCGCGUGAGGGAAGACUGCCUAUGGGUUGUAAACCUCUUUUUUCAGGGAGGAAAAAAAUGACGUGUACCUGAAGAAUAAGCAUCGGCUAACUCCGUGCCAGCAGCCGCGGUAAGACGGAGGAUGCAAGUGUUAUCCGGAAUCACUGGGCGUAAAGCGUCUGUAGGUGGUUUAAUAAGUCAACUGUUAAAUCUUGAGGCUCAACUUCAAAAUCGCAGUCGAAACUAUUAGACUCGAGUAUAGUAGAGGUAAAGGGAAUUUCCAGUGGAGCGGUGAAAUGCGUAGAUAUUGGAAAGAACACCGAUGGCGAAGGCACUUUACUGGGCUAUUACUAACGCUCAGAGACGAAAGCUAGGGUAGCAAAUGGGAUUAGAUACCCCAGUAGUCCUAGCUGUAAACUAUGGAUACUAGA